GACGAACUUUGGCGGCGUGCUUAACACAUGCAUGUCGAACGGAAAGGCCCUGCUUUUGUGGGGUGCUCGAGUGGCGAACGGGUGAGUAACACGUGAGUAACCUGCCCUUGACUUUGGGAUAACUUCAGGAAACUGGGGCUAAUACCGGAUAGGAGCUCCUGCUGCAUGGUGGGGGUUGGAAAGUUUCGGCGGUUGGGGAUGGACUCGCGGCUUAUCAGCUUGUUGGUGGGGUAGUGGCUUACCAAGGCUUUGACGGGUAGCCGGCCUGAGAGGGUGACCGGCCACAUUGGGACUGAGAUACGGCCCAGACUCCUACGGGAGGCAGCAGUGGGGAAUAUUGCACAAUGGGCGGAAGCCUGAUGCAGCAACGCCGCGUGCGGGAUGACGGCCUUCGGGUUGUAAACCGCUUUCGCCUGUGACGAAGCGUGAGUGACGGUAAUGGGUAAAGAAGCACCGGCUAACUACGUGCCAGCAGCCGCGGUGAUACGUAGGGUGCGAGCGUUGUCCGGAUUUAUUGGGCGUAAAGGGCUCGUAGGUGGUUGAUCGCGUCGGAAGUGUAAUCUUGGGGCUUAACCCUGAGCGUGCUUUCGAUACGGGUUGACUUGAGGAAGGUAGGGGAGAAUGGAAUUCCUGGUGGAGCGGUGGAAUGCGCAGAUAUCAGGAGGAACACCAGUGGCGAAGGCGGUUCUCUGGGCCUUUCCUGACGCUGAGGAGCGAAAGCGUGGGGAGCGAACAGGCUUAGAUACCCUGGUAGUCCACGCUGUAAACGGUGGGUACUAGGUGUGGGGUCCAUUCCACGGGUUCCGUGCCGUAGCUAACGCUUUAAGUACCCCGCCUGGGGAGUACGGCCGCAAGGCUAAAACUCAAAGGAAUUGACGGGGCCCCGCACAAGCGGCGGAGCAUGCGGAUUAAUUCGAUGCAACGCGUAGAACCUUACCUGGGUUUGACAUGGAUCGGGAGUGCUCAGAGAUGGGUGUGCCUCUUUUGGGGUCGGUUCACAGGUGGUGCAUGCCUGUCGUCAGCUCGUGUCGUGAGAUGUUGGGUUAAGUCCCGCAACGAGCGCAACCCUUGUUCACUGUUGCCAGCACGUUAUGGUGGGGACUCAGUGGAGACCGCCGGGGUCAACUCGGAGGAAGGUGGGGAUGACGUCAAGUCAUCAUGCCCCUUAUGUCCAGGGCUUCACGCAUGCUACAAUGGCUGGUACAGAGAGUGGCGAGCCUGUGAGGGUGAGCGAAUCUCGGAAAGCCGGUCUCAGUUCGGAUUGGGGUCUGCAACUCGACCUCAUGAAGUCGGAGUCGCUAGUAAUCGCAGAUCAGCAACGCUGCGGUGAAUACGUUCCCGGGGCU
Molecule: ribosomal RNA, 1346 nt
Filed under: uncultured bacterium
Lineage: Bacteria
Description: partial 16S ribosomal RNA
Rfam family: Bacterial small subunit ribosomal RNA
Source: RNAcentral